AGUGAACGCUGGCGGCAGGCCUAACACAUGCAAGUCGAACGGCAGCACAGUAAGAGCUUGCUCUUACGGGUGGCGACUGGCGGACGGGUGACGAGUACAUCGGAAUCUACUUUUUCGUGGGGGAUAACGUAGGGACACUUACGCUACUACCGCAUACGACGUACGGGUGAAAUCAGGGGAUCUUCGGACCUUGCGUGAUUGUAUGAGCCGAUGUCGGAUUAGCUAGUUGGCGGGGUAAAGGCCCACCAAGGCGACGAUCCGUAGCUGGUCUGAGAGGAUGAUCAGCCACACUGGAACUGAGACACGGUCCAGACUCCUACGGGAGGCAGCAGUGGGGAAUAUUGGACAAUGGGCGAAAGCCUGAUCCAGCCAUGCCGCGUGGGUGAAGAAGGCCUUCGGGUUGUAAAGCACUUUUAUUGGGGAAGAAAAGCAGCAGGUUAAUACCCCGCUGUUCUGACGGUACCCAAAGAAUAAGCACCGGCUAACUUCGUG
Molecule: ribosomal RNA, 492 nt
Filed under: uncultured bacterium
Lineage: Bacteria
Description: partial 16S ribosomal RNA
Rfam family: Bacterial small subunit ribosomal RNA
Source: RNAcentral